Molecule: microRNA precursor, 60 nt
Filed under: Oreochromis niloticus (Nile tilapia)
Lineage: Eukaryota; Metazoa; Chordata; Actinopteri; Cichliformes; Cichlidae
Description: microRNA oni-mir-10653 precursor (oni-mir-10653-1)
Source: miRBase by way of RNAcentral
AUACUGGUCUGCAGCUGCUGGUCUUUCUUCUUGGUCCAGCAGCACAUGAACCAGUUCUCC